This is a non-coding RNA of Schistosoma haematobium, 45 nucleotides long. The record is from Rfam. NCBI's taxonomy places the organism in Eukaryota, Metazoa, Platyhelminthes, Trematoda, Strigeidida, Schistosomatidae.
AUCUAUCUGUCGAGUCUCAAAUAGGACGAAAUUCGCGUCAUGGAU